Molecule: ribosomal RNA, 465 nt
Filed under: uncultured Klebsiella sp.
Lineage: Bacteria; Pseudomonadati; Pseudomonadota; Gammaproteobacteria; Enterobacterales; Enterobacteriaceae
Description: bacterial SSU rRNA
Rfam family: Bacterial small subunit ribosomal RNA
Source: RNAcentral
CCUACGGGAGGCUGCAGUGGGGAAUAUUGCACAAUGGGCGCAAGCCUGAUGCAGCCAUGCCGCGUGUGUGAAGAAGGCCUUCGGGUUGUAAAGCACUUUCAGCGGGGAGGAAGGCGGUGAGGUUAAUAACCUCAUUGAUUGACGUUACCCGCAGAAGAAGCACCGGCUAACUCCGUGCCAGCAGCCGCGGUAAUACGGAGGGUGCAAGCGUUAAUCGGAAUUACUGGGCGUAAAGCGCACGCAGGCGGUUUGUCAAGUCGGAUGUGAAAUCCCCGGGCUCAACCUGGGAACUGCAUUCGAAACUGGCAGGCUAGAGUCUUGUAGAGGGGGGUAGAAUUCCAGGUGUAGCGGUGAAAUGCGUAGAGAUCUGGAGGAAUACCGGUGGCGAAGGCGGCCCCCUGGACAAAGACUGACGCUCAGGCGCGAAAGCGUGGGGAGCAAACAGGAUUAGAUACCCGGGUAGUC